GAUGAAUUGUAACAUAUGGCUAUCUUCUUCAAUGUGCAGCCUAAGAACAAAAAAGUGUUUCAGUUAAUCAAGCUUUUUGAAACCAUCUUUCAAUUUGUCAUUUGGGGCUCAGUAAAAACUAGCUUCAAGUUGCCAGGGCCAGGUGUGAAGUUCCUUUGUAAAUACAGCCGGCAUCCAGCUGCUUUGUUAUGUGCCUAUUUACAUAACUGACAGUCUCAACAUUCGGGCCAGGACUGUAGGCAAUCUAGGCCUACUAUCCACACUUUGCACUUUCCUUUGGCUGAACGUGUACAGCAUAAGGACCACAGUUAAUGCUUCACUGAAUACUGGAUGAUUUCUGAGAGAUCAGAUUUUACAUGCUUUUAC
This 366-nucleotide long non-coding RNA is filed under the name Fukomys damarensis (Damara mole-rat). Its description in RNAcentral is "lncRNA (ENSFDAG00000028064.1)". Lineage: Eukaryota; Metazoa; Chordata; Mammalia; Rodentia; Bathyergidae. The record is from RNAcentral.